RNAcentral lists this ribosomal RNA (442 nucleotides) under uncultured Leptolinea sp. RNAcentral describes it as "bacterial SSU rRNA". It matches the Rfam family "Bacterial small subunit ribosomal RNA", at positions 925 to 1381 of the family's 1533-position model. The record is from RNAcentral. Lineage: Bacteria; Bacillati; Chloroflexota; Anaerolineae; Anaerolineales; Anaerolineaceae.
ACAAGCAGCGGAGCGUGUGGUUUAAUUCGAGGCUACACGAAGAACCUUACCAGGGUUUGACAUGCAAGUGGUAGGAAUCCGAAAGGUGACCGACCCUUCGGGGAGCUUGCACAGGUGCUGCAUGGCUGUCGUCAGCUCGUGUCGUGAGAUGUUCGGUUAAGUCCGCUAACGAGCGCAACCCUCGUCGUGUGUUAUACGUGUCACACGAUACUGCCGGUAUCAAGCCGGAGGAAGGUGGGAUGAUGUCAAGUCAGCAUGGCCUUUAUAUCCUGGGCUACACACACGCUACAAUGGCAGAUACAAUAGGUUGCGAAACCGCGAGGUGGAGCCAAUCCUCAAAGUCUGUCUCAGUUCAGAUUGUAGGCUGCAACUCGCCUGCAUGAAGUUGGAGUUGCUAGUGAACGCAGGUCAGCUAUACUGCGUUGAAUACGUUCCCGGGUUU